Molecule: ribosomal RNA, 933 nt
Filed under: Triticum aestivum (bread wheat)
Lineage: Eukaryota; Viridiplantae; Streptophyta; Magnoliopsida; Poales; Poaceae
Description: partial small subunit ribosomal RNA
Source: RNAcentral
AUGUUCUUGUCGACGGUGAGCUUGUUGAGCGUGAGGGUGCCCGUCUUGUCGCUGCAGAGCACGUCCAUGCCGGCCAUCUCCUCGAUGGCCGUCAUCCGCUUGGUGAUGGCGCCCUGCUGCGAGAGCUUGUGGGAGCCGAUGGCCAUGGUGACGGAGAGCACGGUGGGCAUGGCGAUGGGGAUGCCGCCGAUGAGGAGCACGAGCAGGUUGUCGAUGCCGUCGCGGUACCGGCGGUGCUGGAUCGGGUACAUGACGACGAUCUCCACCAGCAUGCCGAUGGCGAUGGACACGAUGCAGAAGUUGCCGAUCGCAUGUUUGAGUGGAAAAAAACGAGUUACCUUUUGGAAGUGGCCGACGUUGUUGGUGCUGUCGACGAGAUGCGCGGCCUUGCCGAAGAAGGUGUGGACGCCGGUGGCGAUGACGACGGCCUCGAUCUCGCCCUGCUUGCACGUGGAGCCGGAGUACACGCUGUCGCCGGGGAGCUUGUUGACGGGGAGGGACUCGCCGGUGAGCGCCGACUGGUCGAUCUUGAGCGGGUCGCCCUCCAUCAGCCGCGCGUCCGCCGGGAUGAUGUCGCCCAGCUUGAUGCUGAUGAUGUCGCCCGGCACCAGUAUCGCCGCGUCCUGCUCCGCCCACUUGCCGUCCCGGAGCACCUUGGUCUGCGGCGCCAGGCUGGCCAUCAGCGCCGCCGCGGCGUUGCCGGCGUUGUUCUCCUCGAUGAAGCUGAUGGUGGAGUUGAUGAUGAGCAGGGUGACGAUGCCCACGAAGUCCUGCCAGUCGGGGGGCUUGCCGCCGCCGUUGGCGAGGGCGAUGGCCAUGAUCGCCGCCGCCUCCAUGACCCACGACAGAGGGUUCCACAUGAACCCUAAAAACUUGAGGAACUUGCUCUCCUGCAAACCCACACACAGCGCCAUGAAAAAUGGAUCAAAUUAA